GAAGGAAUGUGCGUCCGCAACCCUGUGUGGGUCGAUCAAGAAGCACCUACUAGACCAUUUCCACAAGAAACCUGUGCCACCAAAGCCAAAGCCAGAACCUAAGCCAGAGCUGGAGCCGAAGCCAGAACCUAAGCCAGAGCCAGAGAACCACCCACCUACACCAACAUACGGAUCCUCAACUCCGAUCUACCAUCCUCCAUCCAGGCAGUUGUUUGACAAGAAACACAUGUUUGAUAACUUCCACAAGCACCACGACUACCAUCACUUCUUUGACCACUUCCACAAGAAACCAGUUCCACCAAAGCCAAAACCAGAACCUAAGCCAGAACCAAAACCCAAGCCCCAGCCAGAGUACCACUCUCCAACUCCAACAUAUGGGUCGCCCACACCGAUCUACCACCCUCCGGCUAGGCAUUUGUUUGAUAAGAAGCCCUUGCUAGAUCACUUCCAUAAGGACCAUGACUAUCACCACUUCUUAGACCACUUCCACAAGAAACCCGUGCCACAAAAGCCAAAGCUAGAACCCAAGCCACAGC
This 536-nucleotide long non-coding RNA is filed under the name Zea mays. RNAcentral's name for it is "long non-coding RNA (ZMAY_LNC003037)". Lineage: Eukaryota; Viridiplantae; Streptophyta; Magnoliopsida; Poales; Poaceae. The record is from RNAcentral.